GACGAACGCUGGCGGCGUGCUUAACACAUGCAAGUCGAACGGAAAGGCCCUGCUUUUGUGGGGUGCUCGAGUGGCGAACGGGUGAGUAACACGUGAGUAACCUGCCCUUGACUUUGGGAUAACUUCAGGAAACUGGGGCUAAUACCGGAUAGGAGCUCCUGCUGCAUGGUGGGGGUUGGAAAGUUUCGGCGGUUGGGGAUGGACUCGCGGCUUGUCAGCUUGUUGGUGGGGUAGUGGCUUACCAGGGCUUUGACGGGUAGCCGGCCUGAGAGGGGGACCGGCCACAUUGGGACUGAGAUACGGCCCACACUCCUACGGGAUGCAGCAGUGGGGAAUAUUGCACAAUGCGCGGAAGCCUGAUGCAGCAACGCCGCGUGCGGGAUGACGGCCUUCGGGUUGUAGACCGCUUUCCCCUGUGACGAAACGUGAGUGACGGUAAUGGGUAAAGAAGCACCGGCUAACUACGUG
RNAcentral lists this ribosomal RNA (468 nucleotides) under uncultured bacterium. Its description in RNAcentral is "partial 16S ribosomal RNA". It matches the Rfam family "Bacterial small subunit ribosomal RNA", at positions 28 to 507 of the family's 1533-position model. The record is from RNAcentral.